Molecule: transfer RNA, 84 nt
Filed under: Planctomycetia bacterium
Lineage: Bacteria; Pseudomonadati; Planctomycetota; Planctomycetia
Description: tRNA-Leu
Rfam family: tRNA
About the family: Transfer RNA (tRNA) molecules are approximately 80 nucleotides in length. Their secondary structure includes four short double-helical elements and three loops (D, anti-codon, and T loops).
Source: RNAcentral
GCGGAAAUGGCGGAAUUGGCAGACGCGUCAGGUUGAGGGCCUGAUGGUAGCAAUACUGUGCAGGUUCAAGUCCUGUUUUCCGCA